This 254-nucleotide long non-coding RNA is filed under the name Struthio camelus australis. RNAcentral describes it as "lncRNA (ENSSCUG00000004500.1)". The record is from RNAcentral. Lineage: Eukaryota; Metazoa; Chordata; Aves; Struthioniformes; Struthionidae.
AUCGGUUGGAAGAUGCUGGGGCACGGCAUUUUCUGCGUUUUCUGCCACCUUGCUAAGAUGGUGCUGUGACUCAUUCUCCGGAACGCUGCUCCUGAGGACACAGAUGCUUUGCUGUAUGCUCACUGCAAUACUUUGAAUCAUAGCCUGGUCUUGGGUUUAAAACCUAUAGAUUUCAAAGCGACCCUAUGCGUGUGUGUGUGGAGCUGUCAGCGAGGCCGCAGGGCUCUUGAAGGCAACGACAAGCAGUACGGGAG